This 468-nucleotide ribosomal RNA is filed under the name uncultured bacterium. RNAcentral describes it as "partial 16S ribosomal RNA". It matches the Rfam family "Bacterial small subunit ribosomal RNA", at positions 28 to 507 of the family's 1533-position model. The record is from RNAcentral.
GACGAACGCUGGCGGCGUGCUUAACACAUGCAAGUCGAACGGCAAGGCCCUGCUUUUGUGGUGUGCUCGAGUGGCGAACGGGUGCGUAACACGUGAGUAACCUGCCCUUGACUUUCGUAUAACUUCAGGAAACUGGGGCUAAUACCGGAUAGCAGCCCCUGCUGCAUGGUGGGCGUUGGAAAGUUUCGGCGGUUGGGGAUGGACUCGCGGCUUAUCAGCUUGUUGGUUGGGUAGUGGCUGACCAAGGCUUUGACGGGUAGCCGGCCUGGGAGGGUGAACGGCCACAUGGGGACUGAGAUACGGCCCAGACGCCUACGGGAGGCAGUAGUGGGGAAUAUUGCACAAUGGGCGGAAGCCUGAUGCAGCAGCGCCGCGGGCGGGAUGACGGCCUGCGGGGUGUAAACCGCUGUCGCUUGAGACGACGCGUGAGUGACGGUAAUGGGUGAAGAAGCACCGGCUAACUACGUG